Molecule: RNA transcript, 6538 nt
Organism: Alligator sinensis (Chinese alligator)
Lineage: Eukaryota; Metazoa; Chordata; Crocodylia; Alligatoridae
Gene: CATSPER3
Gene name: cation channel sperm associated 3
Exons: 11
Source: RefSeq, a predicted model, not a curated record
UAUCUGCUUCCAUAAUGAGGUGAGUGUGCAUGAAGUGAUUGAUGCUUUGUUGUACAUCAUGCCAUUGGGGAUGAUUCAGUGCUUGAGUUUUCCAUGUAUUGAUAUUAAUAUCACGUUUUUUCAGAUUGGCCUUCAGGGUGUUCUUGAAUCUCUUCUUUUGCCCACCUCUAGAGAGGUGACCAUUGGUGAAGUAGGAGUAUAGUCUUGGGAGCUGGAAACCUUAUGACAUGUCCUGUCCAAUAGAGCUGGUACCCUAUAAACAUGGCUUCAAUGCUGUUGGUGUUUGCUUGAGCCAGAACACUGGCAUUCAUUCUUCUGUCCGUCCAAUGGAGGAUUUUCCAAAGAUAUUGCUGAUGGUAAUGUUCCAAAGCUUUCACAUCUGUCUUCCAUGUUUCAUGCCCACAUAAGCUAGGGAUGAUAUGCUUGAUUUGGGUCCUGAUGUUAUGAUCAUCAAAGCCACAAUUUUAGAGAAGUCCAAAGGCAGCACUCAUAGAUUUUAUCCAGGGUUAUGUCUUGUGGUGUGUCAGGGCUGAUGGUACUUUUACUAAGAGGUUAGAGAUUAUGGAUUUGUAUAGGAUGGUUUGGUUAGGGAUGAACCUGUCUCAGGCAGGAAGCUGAACUAGAUGACCUAUAGAAGUCCUUUCCAGCCUUCUCUAUGAUUCCUUUGAGUGUAGUCUCUUUACUUUUUGGGGAAAGGUGGCUACUCACGUAGGGGAAAUGCUCAACAUCCUCCAAGGAUUGCCCUCUAAUUGUAAUAUGAGGAGGGGCAACUAGUUGGUUUGGAGUGGGUUAGUAAACUAUCUUUUGUUGUGAAGUUGGCAGAGAGUCCAAGCAUUUUAUAUAAAUCAAGAAAUACCUGGAACUCUUCAGCUGAGUGGGAACAUAUGACACAGUCAUUAGUGUAUUGAAAAUAAGUAACGGAGGUGUUGGUUAUCUUGGAUUUGAAACAUAACUGGUUGAUAUUAGAGAUUCCUGUCCAUGCAAUACUGGAUGUGACUCCAGAUGGAAAUCUGUCAGCAAUGAAAUGUGGAAUAGCUGUGAUAUAGAUGGAAAAGAGUAUUGGUACAGUUGCCCAUUCUUGUUUGACUUCAAUUUCAAUGGCAAAAGGGUCUGUUUCUAAGCCACUGCUUAGGAUGGUUGUCUUGUCCCUGUGAAGAAGACUGAUGAUGGGACAAAUUUUGGCGGGCAUCCAAAUUUCAUCAGGAUCUUCCAUAGGGCCUCUCUGUUGAUUGAAUCAAAGGCCAUUGUCAAUGAAAGCCAUAUAAAGAUCUUAGUGUCACUUGCAACACUCAUUUUGUAGCUGUCUAUUAGCAAAUAUUGUAUGUAUUGUACCUUUGAAUGGACUGAAACCAUAUUGGUAUUUGGUAGUAUCUUCUAAGCAAGGAAAGUGAGUUUACUGAGGAGAAUACAGGUGAGGCUCCUCCCAGCUAUGGGCAGGAUGCAAUAUCAUAAUUACUGCUGCAAUUUGAUCUUCCUCCUUACUUGAAUACAGUAAUUAUUCUGGCAUCUUUCAGAUCACUGGGAAUCUGCUCAUGUUUCCAAAUUUUCAUAAUAAUGAUGUGUAGUUGGUAAGAGAGCUUUUUUUUUUUUUUUUAACUUGCUUAUAAAUUUCAGCUGGUAUUCCAUGUGUUUGUUGUUCUUCAUCUGCUUAAUGGCUUUCAAGGCUUUCAGGCAUCUUGGUAAGUUUGCAGGUCUGCAAGGUAGUCCAUAAAGGAGUGUUGUGGAACAACAUUGAUGGUAUUGUCUUUGAAUCGAUUAAAAUUUUGGGUCAGGAGCUCUUGAAAGUGCUGCUUUCACAGUAUGUUGAUGGUGGAGCUGCUUUUAAAGAAUGCUGUUCCAUUCUUGGACCUCAGAGCGUGGCUCCUUGUGUGGUGGCCCAUAGAUAGCUGUGGUUGUGCUGGAGAAACUAUGCAUGCCGUGGCUGUCUGCAAAAAUGUGAAUCUCUCUUGCACAAAGAGAUUCAACAUUUUUCAGACAGCCACAACAUGCAUAGUUUCUUCAGUGGUGUGUCCUCUCACCCCUUGUUCUUUCAUUUUUAAAUUACCCUCUGGUUUUCAGCUUUAAUGCAAUGAUAAAUGUCUUGCUUCAGAGAAGAAUUCCACCUUUCCUCACUCCAUCCCUUCCAAGUCUUUCUUUCCAUAGCUCAGGGUCUCUACUUACUCUAGCAUUGAAAUCACCAGAAAGAAUGAUCUUACCUUCCUUGGGGAGAGAUGACGAGAGCUGGUUGAAUUUAGAAUAACCUUUUUCUGUUUGGGCAUUGUAUCAAGGGUUGGGGUGUAUGCACUGAUGGCUGUUGCAUUUUGUCUGUCAGUCAGUUGAAGAGGAAAAGUCAUGAGAUGCUUAAUGAUGCCAUACAGAUAUUUUGGCAUCUUGGACUUGAUAGCAAAAUGAAUGCUGUGAUGAUUUCUAAUUGAAUCAAGUAUCUGUCCUGGAGAAGCUUCAGCUAAAGAUCCCAAGUAACUUAAAAAUCUGCUAUAACCCAAUGUAGGUUGUUCUAGUGGACUUAAAGGCCUCAUUGCUAAAACUAUACAUCCUAUGUCUUCCCUUCAGUGUUGAGCAAUUGUGGCUCAUUAUACGUUUGUCUGCUAAACUGAGGAGCCAUCUGUUGUAUGAAGCAGGGUUGAAUUAGGAAAGGGAAUUUUACAAACAAAACCAUCUCUAAUAGCCUCCAUAAUACUUGAAAAAUCUAUAGAAUAAAGAUGUCUUAAGUUUCCAUUGCCUCUAUAUUCAGUCAUAUUCAGAAAGCCUCCAUAUUUUGGUGACUAAACAUAAUUCCUUUUAAUUAAGACUCCCAUUUAAGAUGUAGGUACUCUAACUUUGCAUCUGUGUUGGGUAAUCUUCCUGUUCAUUUCCUCCUGCCAACAUUUUCUGCUGUUAAAAUUUGCCUUUCCAGAGCACGAAUUUUAAUUAAACCAAACAUAAUUAGGUUCAAAGUUUGAUUCUUUCAAAAUUCCACAGCCUUGGCUUAGUUUAUGCAUCUGUGCUGUCAUUUUUAAGCUUGAGCUAAAGGAUUGCAAACUGACUCCAUUUAGUUAGCACUUUGUACAUGCUGGAUUUAACAUGCCACAGUUGUUUGUUCUAGGACACAAACAUAUGCGGUUUACUCUAAGCUGCAUUUUAAAGGCAGCCAAAACUACCUUUCUCCUGGAACAAAUAUUUAUGGAGGGUCCAAAUUAGUAUGUAUCAACAUAUUGACUGAGUUAAUUGCUGAUUACUUAACCCUAAGUUAAAAACCAAAACAAGACUAAUGUUGUAACUGUUUCUAUAAAUGUAACUGAGUUGCAUUUAUACCCCUGACAUGUAUUCCUUGCUUCUAAUCAGUGCUACUAAGAGGAAAUACCCUGCAGAAUUGGGCCCUUUAAUUUAUAGGAUUUGAAUAGUGAUAAAGUUAGUUUCUAAAUGAAACUUGGCAGCAACCCCAUAAUGCCUGCCCGCAGUUAUUUGAUAAGGGCUAAAUCUGCUGAAAAGCUGUAGUGUCUGUGAAGAUCAUGAGAUUGCGUGAUAACAGGGCACGUGCUGUAUUGCAGUAACAGCAGCAGAAAUGCAUUGUCAUUAGUAGGGACCUACUGAAAUCAUGUUUUUGUGAUUUUUGCAGAAACCGUGAUUUCAGGCAUGUUCUGUGAAAAAGUGUGGGCGCCGUGCUUUGGGCGGGCGGGCUCCCGGAGAAAAAAACAAAACAAAACUUACUGAAAAUAAAAUGCUGGCUCCCUCUGGGUAGCCAGCAGCCCUCGUGGCUCGAUUGUGCAACCCGCUAGGGGGGUGGUGGGGCGGGAAGAGACGAGGGGGGCUGCUGCCCCCUCCACUGCUAAUUGGCUGUAACGGCUGUCCAUCUUAUGGCCCUUCCUCCUCGUCAUCAAUUGGUGGUAAGGCAUGGGGCCAUGUGACAGAUGGUCCUUGCAGCCAAUCAGCAAUGAGGAGCAGGGCUACUGGGGCCUGUUGGCCAAUCAGAGGUGUGUGUGGGGCGGGGGCAGUCACACUCCACCCAUAAAAAUGGCUGCCCACCCUGCGAUUUGCACGUGAAAUCUGCUGGGAGCUGCCUCGAGUUCACUAGACUGCUAGUUAUUAGUUCUGCCCUUUUUGCCUUUUCCAGGAGCAGGAAUAAAGAAGCUGCCUUUAAAGCUCGAAUACGUAUAAAUGCAAGUGCGCUCUCGUCUAGCGCAGUUUCCGUGUGCAGAGAUGAAGGUUGCUUUUUGAAGACACAGGAUGAUGAAAAAUGAAGCCAACUGAGCAGAUGGGAGAAUGUUUCUGGCCAUCUUCAGCGUUGCACAGUCGGAUUCAGCAAGGUGUUCAGCUUGAGUUGGACCACUCUUGUACUGGACGUUGGGUUCUCGAAGUUGCUUAAGAGGAAACUGGACGACCACCUAGGCGGCUUAACUUGAGAAAACAAAAAUCUACAAGUCUGACCAUGGAGAUUACAGAAUCGUUUCAUAAGAGGGGACUUGCCCUCAGGUUGCCUGUUGAAACUUUUAAGUCCACAUCUGAGGUCAAAGUGAAACACUCGCUGUUUGCACUAUUUAAGAGACAAGAUGCAGAAUUUUGUGCAUAUUUAUCCAAAUUGCUGCAGAAUCCCAUGCUGAGAGUCAUCAUGAUUAGCACCGUCUUGGUCAAUGCACUGUUCAUAACUAUGGAGACUGAUUAUAAUAUUAGGUUUCAAUCUCAUACGUUUUUGGAGCUGGCAGACGUGAUCAUUCUGGCCAUCUAUACCACAGAGUUUUUGAUCCUGUUUUAUGUGGACCCCUUGAAUUUCUGGAGGAGUGGCUACAACAUACUCAAUGCUGUCAUUCUCCUCUUUGCUUACCUCCCGUAUACCAUCAACAAAAAUAACACCAAAUACUACUGGACCUGGAGCACGCUCAAAGGUUUCCAGGUGCUCCGGAUUCUGAAACUCAUCAACUACAGCCGAGGAAUGAGGAAUUUGAUGACAGCUCUAGGCCAGACUAUGAAGACUGUGAUCUAUGUCCUUAUUCUGCUGUUCCUGCUAAUGUUUAUCUUUGCCAUUUUGGGCCACGGUUUGUAUGGAGACCCUGACACUGGAGACAGAGGAAAUUGGGGCAACCUCGCAUCUGCACUUUUCACGCUCUUCAGUUUAGUCACGGUCGACGGCUGGACGGACUUGCAGAGCAGCUUGGAGGAUCACGGUUUUACUGCCAGCCGAGCGUUCACCAUAGUCUUCAUCUUGCUGGGCUUCUUUGUGUUUUUCAAUAUGUUUAUUGGUGUUGUCAUUAUCAAUAUCCAGGACUCGACUCAAAAUUACAAGUGGGAGCGUAAAGCAGAAACACAGGCUGCUCUUCAGGCCAAAAAACAAGCCAUAUUAAAGAGACAACAAGAAGAAGUGAGCAAGUUAAUGCACCAGCAGAAAACCAGCGAGUAUAAAGCUUUCAGUGAAUUGGUGGACAACUUUAAAAAGACGUUACAGCAUUCUGAUACUGUGGUCAUAGAAGAUUUUUGUGCCAGUAUCGCAUUUAUUGAUCUGUAUUUGACAUCCCUGGAUCUUCAGGAUGAUACAAUAUAUAGGCUGCAAGGACUCUAUUACGAACUCGCUAACACGUUGAACACGAUGUUGGUAGACAUGAAAGAAACAUCUGAGGCCCCUCCUGAGAACCAGAAGGAAAGCUGACUGGGGGCAUCACCUGUGUUGGGGGCAUCAGGCACAGGCAUGUUAGGAGAGAGCACUUUCCACAGCUAACAGCAUCCUUUAUAUGACAUUUUGCUGCAAGAAGAGGAAGCAUGGAAGAUGGGCUUGAGCUAGCAGGUCCCCCAAGUGCCCCUUGUCCCUCAGCUGGAGCUCUGCACUGAGUCUAGGCAGUUUCUAAAGUGGCUUUUGAGUCUGGCUCCGUGGUGCAUCCUGUCACCUGGCGGUCAUGCCCCUCACCGGAAGAACAUACAUGGAAAAAGCUGAGUGCUGCAGUUUGGUUUGCAUAUCCAUUUUGAGCAUGCCUUGACCUGGAGAGAUGUAGAUAGACGGUGGCAGGCACUGGAAAAUACCUGCACUCAGAGAAGAUCUACUGCUACUGGGGCCACAAAACGAGCAUAAUAGACCAAAACCCCAACAAAACCAAAUGCAGGCACAGGUCAAGCAUGUCCUUGUGAAGUCCCUGAUUGAAUAAAAAAACCCCAAACCAGUAAAGGCCUCAGGGCCUGGACUUUUGUGCUUGUUUUCUUGCAAGUUACUGUUUCUUGGGGGAAAAAAGAAAAGUCCCCAGCAGACCCCAGUACCUGGGGGAGUCCCGGCUUUGGUGUACGCUUGUGAUUUAUGGGGUACUUGUUAAAACCACUUGUUCUUGUCAAAACAAAACAGAUUGAAGGGAGUUUGGGAGACGGUCUCCUUCUAGUUGGCACUUCAUCAUGGCUUCUUACUCUUUCCUAGGUUCUGGAAGUUUACAGUUAUAUAAAACUUAAUGAAUCAGUAUACUUUAGAUUUCCGUCCUAAUACAUAUGGGUUCAAUUAACUGUGCCGUUUGCUUAUUUAAGCGUUUUCAUUAAAUUGCUUUACUAUAUUUUCCCGCAAUUGAAAGGGAGCAUGGUGGAGAUUAUGCCA